UACCAGUUGGAAACGACUGUUAAUACCGCAUAAUGUCUACGGACCAAAGUGUGGGACCUUUCGGGCCACAUGCUAUCGGAUGCGCUACGUGGGAUUAGCUAGUUGGUGAGGUAAUGGCUCACCAAGGCGACGAUCCCUAGCUGGUUUGAGAGGAUGAUCAGCCACACUGGAACUGAGACACGGUCCAGGCUCCUACGGGAGGCAGCAGUGGGGAAUAUUGGACAAUGGGCGCAAGCCUGAUCCAGCCAUGCCGCGUGUGUGAAGAAGGCCUUCGGGUUGUAAAGCACUUUCAGUUGGGAGGAAGGGUUGUGUGUUAAUAGUACACAGCCUUGACGUUACCAACAGAAGAAGCACCGGCUAACUCUGUGCCAGCAGCCGCGGUAAUACAGAGGGUGCAAGCGUUAAUCGGAAUUACUGGGCGUAAAGCGCACGUAGGCGGUUUUUUAAGUCAGAUGUGAAAGCCCCGGGCUCAACCUGGGAAUUGCAUUUGAAACUGGAAAACUAGAGUGUGUGAGAGGGGGGUAGAAUUCCAAGUGUAGCGGUGAAAUGCGUAGAGAUCUGGAGGAAUACCGGUGGCGAAGGCGGCCCCCUGGACAAAGACUGACGCUCAGGUGCGAAAGCGUGGGGAGCAAACAGGAUUAGAUACCCUGGUAGUCCACGCCGUAAACGAUGUCGACUUGGAGGUUGUGCCCUUGAGGCGUGGCUUCCGGAGCUAACGCGUUAAGUCGACCGCCUGGGGAGUANCGGCCGCAAGGUUAAAACUCAAAUGAAUUGACGGGGGCCCGCACAAGCGGUGGAGCAUGUGGUUUAAUUCGAUGCAACGCGAAGAACCUUACCUACUCUUGACAUCCAGAGAACUUUCCAGAGAUGGAUUGGUGCCUUCGGGAACUCUGAGACAGGUGCUGCAUGGCUGUCGUCAGCUCGUGUUGUGAAAUGUUGGGUUAAGUCCCGCAACGAGCGCAACCCUUAUCCUUUGUUGCCAGCGGUCCGGCCGGGAACUCAAAGGAGACUGCCAGUGAUAAACUGGAGGAAGGUGGGGGAUGACGUCAAGUCAUCAUGGCCCUUACGAGUAGGGCUACACACGUGCUACAAUGGCGCAUACAAAGAGAAGCGACCUCGCGAGAGCAAGCGGACCUCAUAAAGUGCGUCGUAGUCCGGAUUGGAGUCUGCAACUCGACUCCAUGAAGUCGGAAUCGCUAGUAAUCGUAGAUCAGAAUGCUACGGUGAAUACGUUCCCGGGCCUUGUACACACCGCCCGUCACACCA
RNAcentral lists this ribosomal RNA (1266 nucleotides) under uncultured bacterium. RNAcentral describes it as "bacterial SSU rRNA". It matches the Rfam family "Bacterial small subunit ribosomal RNA", at positions 144 to 1404 of the family's 1533-position model. The record is from RNAcentral.